Molecule: ribosomal RNA, 501 nt
Filed under: uncultured bacterium
Lineage: Bacteria
Description: partial 16S ribosomal RNA
Rfam family: Bacterial small subunit ribosomal RNA
Source: RNAcentral
AUUGAACGCUGGCGGCAUGCCUUACACAUGCAAGUCGAACGGCAGCACGGGUGCUUGCACCUGGUGGCGAGUGGCGAACGGGUGAGUAAUACAUCGGAACGUACCUUAUCGUGGGGGAUAACGCAGCGAAAGUUGCGCUAAUACCGCAUAAGCCCUGAGGGGGAAAGCGGGGGACCGUAAGGCCUCGCGCGAUUAGAGCGGCCGAUGUCUGAUUAGCUUGUUGGUGAGGUAAAAGCUCACCAAGGCGAUGAUCAGUAGCUGGUCUGAGAGGACGCUCAGCCACACUGGGACUGAGACACGGCCCAGACUCCUACGGGAGGCAGCAGUGGGGAAUUUUGGACAAUGGGGGCAACCCUGAUCCAGCAAUGCCGCGUGAGUGAAGAAGGCCUUCGGGUUGUAAAGCUCUUUUGUCAGGGAAGAAAAAGCAGCUCUAACACAGUCUGCGAAUGACGGUACCUGAAGAAUAAGCACCGGCUAACUACGUGCCAGCCGCCGCGGUAA